This 1422-nucleotide long non-coding RNA is filed under the name Olea europaea subsp. europaea. The record is from RNAcentral. Lineage: Eukaryota; Viridiplantae; Streptophyta; Magnoliopsida; Lamiales; Oleaceae.
AUUAACUCAAAGCAAAACCUAGCUCUAUAAAUCGCUAUUUAAACAAUCCAUAAGCCGCCUUCCAUAAUACACUUCUUUCGUUCAUCUUCACCGAAUUCUUCGAUCCAAAUAAUUUCGAUCUGGCUUUUCUUUUUACCUGAUGAUGUGUUUCUCUCCGAUUUUCUGGUGUGGUUUUCAUGUAUUAAUUAUACGUCAAUAUUGCAUCUGGUUUACCCUCUCCCUGUAUAUGAUGUUAUGUGUGUACCAAAUGUAGCAAUCGAAGGUAAUUUUUCAUUUAUUUCAUCUUGACAUAUUUUGUUAAUUGAGAUACCAAUGGACUAGUUUAAAAAUAAGUCAUUGUGUCAAAAUUUUAGCUUUCGGUCAGAUAAUCAAGUAUUCAUCUAGCGAUAAAUUUUAUAUCGAUAUUGGGCUUAUUUCGAAACUCAUAUUAAAUGACGAAUUUUGUACUCGAGAAAAAGUUAUUUCGGAUAAACUAGGCUAAGUUAUUGAAGUUCAAAAGAAGUUAUAUUUGAGCAAUUGACAUUUUAGCGCCACGAGUAUCACUAGAUAGUUGGAAUUUGAUAUUUUGAUUGAUAAUAUAUAUAUAUAUAUAUAUAUAUAUAGACACACACACACAUGCACACACGACAAACCCGUUAAAGAAAGCAUUUUUACAUUUGAGAUUUGGAGAGUUCCGUUCAAGUAGAUAUUGUCUUAUCACUUCGAAUUAAGGUAGGAUCCCUACAUGAAGUUGUUGUUAUAUGAAUUAAAUUUUCAUUUAAACAUGUUAUUCGUUAUAUUUGCUCAUGAAGUAUAUGAAGUGCUAGUUUUUCUUAAAUUUUGAUGCAUGAAAGAUUAUAUUUGUUUAAACCGAUGAUUGAGGAGACCCAUCAGAAAGUAGAUAAUUUGAUCAUCGAUUUGCUUAUUUAUGGAGGCAACAUGAUGCUCAUUCCUAUUUAAUCUUUUAGAGUAAUCGGAUAUCUAGCGGUGGUUCGUCAUAAAUGGCAUGUGCCUUUUUUAGAGAAAUUUAUUUCUUAUGUUUUAGAUUGUCGCUUUUAUGUUUAAUAAUCAUUUGGUGUCCUAUAAAUUGUAGUUUAAAUUCAUGUUCUUAGGAGGAAAUUUUUUAAAGUUUGAAGUUUGAACGUGUAUUUUUAGUAAAUUUCAGAAUUUUCUCGAUGUUUUUAAAAUUGUGCUAUGGUCGGUAUGUUUAGAAUUUUAGCAUGUUUUUAAUUGGAAAAUGAUCGACUUUAGUUAACUAUGACGGUCAAAUUCGGGAAACACGAACCAGCUUGUUCGAAAAAUAAUUUCGUGCUUCAAACGUAAUCGUCGAGAUCCCGAAUUUUAUAUGUUGUACCUAUAUGAGUUCUAUACUUUAUGUAAAAUUUUAUAAAUUUUCAUCAAGAUUUGCUAGAUCAAAUAAUUUCGCAACCGUAUAAAACUGUU